UGCAUCGGCCAGGAAUCGAACCUGGGCCUCCCGCGUGGCAGGCGAGCAUUCUACCACUGAACCAUCGAUGC
RNAcentral lists this transfer RNA (71 nucleotides) under Cordylochernes scorpioides. Its description in RNAcentral is "tRNA-Gly". Lineage: Eukaryota; Metazoa; Arthropoda; Arachnida; Pseudoscorpiones; Chernetidae. The record is from RNAcentral.